UGAGUACGAGCUGCUACGGCAGCGAAGUGGGUGAUGUCAAGCUUCCAAGAAAAGCCCUAUACCCGUUAAGGCAUGACGGCCUGUACCCGAAACCGACACAGGUGGGGUGGUGGAGAAUACCGAGGGGCGCGAGGUAACUCUCUCUAAGGAACUCGGCAAAAUGGCCCCGUAACUUCGGGAGAAGGGGUGCCACCGCAAGGUGGUCGCAGUGAAGAGGCCCAGGCGACUGUUUACCAAAAACACAGGUCUCCGCUAAGUCGCAAGACGAUGUAUGGGGGCUGACGCCUGCCCAGUGCCGGAAGGUUAAGGAAGCUGGUCAGCGAAAGCGAAGCUAGCGACUGAAGCCCCGGUGAACGGCGGCCGUAACUAUAACGGUCCUAAGGUAGCGAAAUUCCUUGUCGGGUAAGUUCCGACCCGCACGAAAGGCGUAACGAUCUGGGCGCUGUCUCGGAGAGAGGCUCGGCGAAAUAGAAUUGUCUGUGAAGAUGCGGACUACGUGCACCCGGACAGAAAUACCCUAUGAAGCUUUACUGUAGCUUGGUAUUGUGCCCGGGCUCUGAAUGCGCAGGAUAGGUGGGAGACAUUGAUGCAUGGCUUGCGGGUCAUGCGGAGUCAACGGUGAGAUACCACUCUUUCAGAGCUAGGGUUCUAACAGCCACCCGUUAUCCGGGGGCUGGACAGUAUCAGGUGGGCAGUUUGACUGGGGCGGUCGCCUCCUAAAAGGUAACGGAGGCGCGCAAAGGUUUGCUCAGGCUGGUUGGAAAUCAGCCGACGAGUGUAAAAGCAGAAGCAAGCUUGACUGUGAGACCUACAAGUCGAACAGGGACGAAAGUCGGCUUUAGUGAUCCGACGGUUCUGAGUGGAAGGGCCGUCGCUCAACGGAUAAAAGUUACUCUAGGAUAACAGGCUGAUCUCCCCCAAGAGUUCACAUCGACGGGGAGGUUUGGCACCUCGAUGUCGGCUCAUCGCAACCUGGGGCUGAAGUCGGUCCCAAGGGUUGGGCUGUUCGCCCAUUAAAGCGGUACGCGAGCUGGGUUCAGAACGUCGUGAGACAGUUCGGUCCAUAUCCGGUGCAUGCGUAAGAACAUUGAGAGGAGUUCUCCCUAGUACGAGAGGACCGGGAGGAACGCACCUCUGGUGUACCAGUUAUCGUGCCAACGGUAAACGCUGGGUAGCCAUGUGCGGAGAGGAUAACCGCUGAAAGCAUCUAAGUGGGAAGCCCACCUCAAGAUGAGUGUUCUCAUGGCUUAAGCCAGUAAGGUCACGGGAAGAACACCCGUUGAUAGGCUCUACGUGGAAGCUUGGUAACAGGUGAAGCGGAGGAGUACUAAUAGACCGAGGGCUUGAC
Molecule: ribosomal RNA, 1348 nt
Filed under: metagenome
Description: bacterial LSU rRNA
Rfam family: Bacterial large subunit ribosomal RNA
Source: RNAcentral